AGAGUUUGAUCAUGGCUCAGAGCGAACGCUGGCGGCGUACUUAACACAUGCAAGUCGAACGAGGAGUUUCGGUGUAGCAAUACAUCGGAGCUUCGAGUGGCGCACGGGUGAGUAACACGUGGGCAACCUGCCCUUGAGACCGGGAUACCCCCUCGAAAGGGGGGCUAAUACUGGAUACGCUCCUCGGGUCGCGAGAUCGGGGGAGGAAAGGUGGCGAAAGCUGCCGCUCUUGGAGGGGGCUCGCGGCCUAUCAGCUAGUUGGUGAGGUCAUGGCUCACCNGGCAAUGACGGGUAGCUGGUCUGAGAGGACGACCAGCCACACGGGGACUGAGACACGGCCCCGACUCCUACGGGAGGCAGCAGUGGGGAAUUUUCCGCAAUGGGCGAAAGCCUGACGGAGUGACGCCGCGUGGGGGACGAAGGCCUUCGGGUCGUAAACCCCUGUCAGAGGGAAAGAAGGGUCGUGCGGUGAACAGCCGCUCGAUCUGACGGUACCUUCAGAGGAAGCCCCGGCCAACUCUGUGCCAGCAGCCGCGGUAAGACAGAGGGGGCAAGCGUUGCUCGGAAUUACUGGGCGUAAAGGGCGCGUAGGCGGGAUGGCAAGUCGGUCGUGAAAUCCCUCGGCUCAACCGAGGAGCGUCGGCCGAUACUGCCGUUCUUGAGGGAUGCAGAGGAGACUGGAAUUCCCGGUGUAGCGGUGAAAUGUGUAGAGAUCGGGAGGAACACCGGUGGCGAAGGCGGGUCUCUGGGCAUCUCCUGACGCUGAGGCGCGAAAGCGUGGGGAGCAAACGGGAUUAGAUACCCUAGUAGUCC
Molecule: ribosomal RNA, 813 nt
Filed under: uncultured bacterium
Lineage: Bacteria
Description: bacterial SSU rRNA
Rfam family: Bacterial small subunit ribosomal RNA
Source: RNAcentral